UUAACUGAAUUUUAUAACGCUGAUCGAUAUCUUGGUAAAAUAUUCAUUUUUAAACUAGCGGGCAGUGAAAUCUUUGCUUUGUGUGCUAAAGUCAACAGUCGCUCGGUUUGAGCUCAAAUAAAUGCGGAGAUGCCUCGGCUCAGAGCAGUCGGCCACCUCCCUUCGAGCGCUGGACGCUCCGCCGCCCGCCAGCCCGCCGCACCACAGGGAUCAAGACUAGCUCAACUAUGGCUGAGAAAACAACCCAUGUUCCCCAGAGUUUAAAACCUGCCCAUAAGUUGUGGUCGUGUUUUGGAGAUUCGGGAUCCUAUUUCCAAGGAGAGUUGUCCGGGGCGUGUUUAUGUUUGUUAUUUUCAAAACCAAGCAAAGGAAACAGCAGCCAAUUAAAAUGAAAUAUUUUUAUUUGCCUCCA
This is a long non-coding RNA of Panthera uncia (snow leopard), 412 nucleotides long. RefSeq lists it as uncharacterized. The transcript has 2 exons. NCBI's taxonomy places the organism in Eukaryota, Metazoa, Chordata, Mammalia, Carnivora, Felidae. The record is from RefSeq and is a predicted model, not a curated record.